UAUUGCUAGAGAAUACGUCAUGGUGGCCGCGAAAUAACAGGGGUCAAGGUCGGCUAGUCAGGAGACGAUGGGGGAUAAGUUUCAUUGUCGAAAGAGAAACAUCCCGGAUCACUAGUUGGGCCCCCUAAAUGAUCGCUCAGUGACAAAGGAGGUAGUGACAAAGGAGGUAGGAGUGCAGAGACAGCCAGGAGGUUUGCCUAAAAGCAAGUCACCCUUGAAAGAGUGCGUAAUAGCUCACUGAUCGAGCGUUCUUGCGCCGAAGAUGAACGGUGCUAAGCGAUCUGUGGAAUGUAAAAAUACAUCGGUAUGGAAGUGUUAGGCCUUAGAGCGAAGCCUUCGCGCGAGUUGCGGUGGACGAAGCGGAAGCG
RNAcentral lists this non-coding RNA (368 nucleotides) under Nicotiana sylvestris (wood tobacco). Its description in RNAcentral is "Bacterial large subunit ribosomal RNA". It matches the Rfam family "Bacterial large subunit ribosomal RNA", at positions 927 to 1290 of the family's 2925-position model. The record is from Rfam by way of RNAcentral. Lineage: Eukaryota; Viridiplantae; Streptophyta; Magnoliopsida; Solanales; Solanaceae. RNAcentral also lists the same sequence under 1 other name.